GGAAACAGAUGCUAAUACCGGAUAACAACAGAUGAUGCCUAUCAACUGUUUAAAAGAUGGUUCUGCUAUCACUCUUGGAUGGACCUGNGGUGCAUUAGCUAGUUGGUAGGGUAACGGCCUACCAAGGCGAUGAUGCAUAGCCGAGUUGAGAGACUGAUCGGCCACAUUGGGACUGAGACACGGCCCAAACUCCUACGGGAGGCAGCAGC
RNAcentral lists this ribosomal RNA (209 nucleotides) under uncultured Lactobacillus sp. Its description in RNAcentral is "partial 16S ribosomal RNA". It matches the Rfam family "Bacterial small subunit ribosomal RNA", at positions 152 to 355 of the family's 1533-position model. The record is from RNAcentral. Lineage: Bacteria; Bacillati; Bacillota; Bacilli; Lactobacillales; Lactobacillaceae.